AGACCCGAAACCCGGUGAUCUAGCCAUGGGCAGGUUGAAGGUUGGGUAACACUAACUGGAGGACCGAACCGACUAAUGUUGAAAAAUUAGCGGAUGACCUGUGGCUGGGGGUGAAAGGCCAAUCAAACCGGGAGAUAGCUGGUUCUCCCCGAAAGCUAUUUAGGUAGCGCCUCGUGAAUUCAUCUCCGGGGGUAGAGCACUGUUUCGGCUAGGGGGCCAUCCCGGCUUACCAACCCGAUGCAAACUGCGAAUACCGGAGAAUGUUAUCACGGGAGACACACGGCGGGUGCUAACGUCCGUCGUGAAGAGGGAAACAACCCAGACCGCCAGCUAAGGUCCCAAAGUCAUGGUUAAGUGGGAAACGAUGUGGGAAGGCCCAGACAGCCAGGAUGUUGGCUUAGAAGCAGCCAUCAUUUAAAGAAAGCGUAAUAGCUCACUGGUCGAGUCGGCCUGCGCGGAAGAUGUAACGGGGCUAAACCAUGCACCGAAGCUGCGGCAGCGACACUGUGUGUUGUUGGGUAGGGGAGCGUUCUGUAAGCCUGUGAAGGUGGCCUGUGAGGGUUGCUGGAGGU
This 572-nucleotide ribosomal RNA is filed under the name Salmonella enterica. RNAcentral describes it as "partial 23S ribosomal RNA". It matches the Rfam family "Bacterial large subunit ribosomal RNA", at positions 711 to 1280 of the family's 2925-position model. Lineage: Bacteria; Pseudomonadati; Pseudomonadota; Gammaproteobacteria; Enterobacterales; Enterobacteriaceae. The record is from RNAcentral.